AAAUAGAGGCCAGGACUCCUGGCUCCCCGUCCAGACUCUGAGGACCCAGGAGCCUCCAUGGGUACACUCAGAGGCCACACUAGAUGCAAAAAGAACCAUUUACAGAGAAGUGAGAGGUUCUCAAAGGCUCAACCAAAUGCCUCUGCCAGGAGAAUCUUUCAGAGUGUCCUGGAACAUUGGAAAUAGGCUUAAAGCUUAAAUGAUGAAUCAGAAGAGUUAUGCUGUAUUCUAAUGCUGCCACUAGGACCUAACAAAGGGAAUGGAGAGUAAUCACAUCAUUCCAAGACCCUUCCUUUGCAGUCCUGUAGUCACAGCUCCAAAGACUCUGGGUUUUGGAGUAAGAGCUGUAACUGCUCAAGAAGAAUUCGUGAACAAAAGCACAUCUUUCUGAGGAGGCAGAAUAUCACAGGCCUAUGACACCAGACUGCUGGAAGAGGCACUAGAGGUUGACAAUAGAUUCCAACAUCUCAUAAACCAGGAAGCAGCCUCAGGAAGGUUGGCAGCUGCCAAACCCAUAGGCUAAGCAGUGGUGGGACUGUGAUUCAAAC
Molecule: long non-coding RNA, 548 nt
Organism: Homo sapiens (human)
Lineage: Eukaryota; Metazoa; Chordata; Mammalia; Primates; Hominidae
Gene: FRMD6-AS2
Product: FRMD6 antisense RNA 2
Source: Ensembl